RNAcentral lists this ribosomal RNA (420 nucleotides) under Fusobacteriota bacterium. Its description in RNAcentral is "Fusobacteria bacterium partial 16S ribosomal RNA". It matches the Rfam family "Bacterial small subunit ribosomal RNA", at positions 355 to 776 of the family's 1533-position model. Lineage: Bacteria; Fusobacteriati; Fusobacteriota. The record is from RNAcentral.
UGGGGGAUAUUGCACAAUGGGCGAAAGCCUGCUGCAGCGACGCCGCGAGGGGGAUGAAGGCCUUCGGGUUGUAAACUUCUUUUGCUCUGAACAAGGCAUGCCUUUGGGGUGUGUUGAGUGUAGGGGUUGAUUAGCGCCGGCUAACUACGUGCCAGCAGCCGCGGUAAUACGUAGGGCGCGAGCGUUGUCCGGAAUUAUUGGGCGUAAAGGGCUUGUAGGUGGCUGGUUGCGUCUGUCGUGAAAGCUCAUGGCUUAACUGUGGGUUUGCGGUGGGGACGGGCUGGCUUGAGUGCAGUAGGGGAGGCUGGAAUUCCUGGUGUAGCGGUGGAAUGCGCAGAUAUCAGGAGGAAUACCGGUGGCGAAGGCGGGUCUCUGGGCUGUUACUGACGCUGAGGAGCGAAAGCGUGGGGAGCGAACAGG